RNAcentral lists this ribosomal RNA (242 nucleotides) under uncultured bacterium. Its description in RNAcentral is "partial 16S ribosomal RNA". It matches the Rfam family "Bacterial small subunit ribosomal RNA", at positions 118 to 348 of the family's 1533-position model. The record is from RNAcentral.
UGGGUAACCUGCCUCAAAGAGGGGAAUAGCCUCCCGAAAGGGAGAUUAAUACCGCAUAAUAUGUUUAGGUCGCAUGACUUUAACAUCAAAGGAUUUUCUUUUAGAAAUUUCACUUUGAGAUGGACCCGCGGCGCAUUAGCUAGUUGGUGAGGUAACGGCUCACCAAGGCAACGAUGCGUAGCCGACCUGAGAGGGUGAUCGGCCACAUUGGAACUGAGACACGGUCCAGACUCCUAGGGAGG